UUGCUUCAGCAGCACAUAUACUAAAAUUGGAAUGAUAAAGAGAUAAAGAGAUUAGCAUGGCCCUUGGGCAAGAAUGACAUGCAAAUUCGUGAAGCAUUCCCUAUUUUU
Molecule: small nuclear RNA, 108 nt
Organism: Cynocephalus volans (Philippine flying lemur)
Lineage: Eukaryota; Metazoa; Chordata; Mammalia; Dermoptera; Cynocephalidae
Source: RefSeq, a predicted model, not a curated record